CGGUUGCGUCGUCUUGAAGGUUGUGACAAUCGCAAUGUCUCAUCCGGUAAGUCAGCAAACGAAGGUUCUUGAGUUGAAUCCACUGGUUGUUGGCUCUCCAUGUAAUUAGCGUCACAAAUGCAAAGAAGUUACAAACAAGGAUAGGAAAUUGAAUGUUAUCUUGCCUCAAUCUUGUCUCUUUUAUAAGAGAGGUUUUUAUCUUGGUUUUGAUGGAUGUCGUUGAUGAAAAACUUUGACUUUAGCUGAUGCAUUUGCUAGAUUCCUGGAUGGCUCCCAUGUGCGCUCACUAAUAUCAUAUCC
RNAcentral lists this long non-coding RNA (300 nucleotides) under Physcomitrium patens. Its description in RNAcentral is "long non-coding RNA (PPAT_LNC007007)". The record is from RNAcentral. Lineage: Eukaryota; Viridiplantae; Streptophyta; Bryopsida; Funariales; Funariaceae.